Molecule: transfer RNA, 85 nt
Filed under: Acidobacteriota bacterium
Lineage: Bacteria; Pseudomonadati; Acidobacteriota
Description: Acidobacteria bacterium tRNA-Ala
Source: RNAcentral
GCCCCGGUGCUGGAACUGGUAGACAGGCCCGCCUUGCACGCGGGUGACCAAUCCGGUCGUCCGGGUCCGAUCCCCGGCCGGGGCA